Molecule: ribosomal RNA, 113 nt
Filed under: Jaculus jaculus (lesser Egyptian jerboa)
Lineage: Eukaryota; Metazoa; Chordata; Mammalia; Rodentia; Dipodidae
Source: RNAcentral
UCCCACAACCAUACCACCCCGCCUGAUAUCUUCUGAUCUUGGAAGCCAAGCAGGGUCGGGUCUGGUUAGUACUUGGAUAGGAGACCACCUGGGAAUAUCAGGAGCUAUAGGCU